Long non-coding RNA from Hypomesus transpacificus, 177 nucleotides. RefSeq lists it as uncharacterized. The record is from RefSeq and is a predicted model, not a curated record. The transcript has 3 exons. Lineage: Eukaryota; Metazoa; Chordata; Actinopteri; Osmeriformes; Osmeridae.
UUGAACGGCAAACCUACAGGUGAAACAGUCUAUGGAAGCAACACGUCUCUGGAGCGUCGUCGUGAAAGAUAGUCACAUGUGGAUGCCGGUAAAGAUGAAAGACCCUCAACAUCACAUACACAUCAGGAGGUUCCUGCAGGCCAUGCACAUGGGGAUAAUGGUGUGGCAGCCCCAUUU